Molecule: ribosomal RNA, 471 nt
Filed under: Triticum aestivum (bread wheat)
Lineage: Eukaryota; Viridiplantae; Streptophyta; Magnoliopsida; Poales; Poaceae
Description: partial small subunit ribosomal RNA
Source: RNAcentral
AUGACCAGAAUGAGGGGAACACCUGGGUAUAUGGCACCUGAGUGGUUGACAUCUCAAAUCACUGAGAAGGUUGAUGUCUACAGCUUUGGUGUUGUGGUCAUGGAGAUCAUCAGCGGAAGAAAGAACCUGGACUACUCUCAACCAGAAGGAAGCGUACAACUCAUUACCUUGCUUCAGGGGAAGGCGGAGAACGGCCAGCUGGAAGACAUGAUCGAUGGAAACAGCGAUGACAUGCACUUACACAAGGAGGAAGUGGUUGAGGUGAUGAAGCUAGCAAUGUGGUGUUUGCAGAGUGACAAAAACAGAAGGCCUGCCAUGUCACUGGUGGUGAAGGUCAUUGAAGGAGAGAGGGAUGUGGAAGCCAAUUUGGAUUACAACUUCUUUGACCUGAGCCCUGCGAUCUCUGUUCCAGUAUGCCGGUCCACUUCUUCAGCUGUACCUGCCGCAUCAAUUCUCUCAGCCCCCAGAUGA